GUCCUACCUGUGAGGACAUCUUGAAGCCCCUCAGCUCUUCACACGAGACCUCACGGUGCAUUCUUCGGCACAUGAACUGCAUCACGUUGAGGUGGUAUGGGCUGAAGCACAAGAUGAAGCUUCAGGUGGACCCUGGCGUAGGAGGCCAGGAUGGCAGCGAGCGGACAGCAGAAAGAGACGACGCAGGCCAGGAGCAGGAAGUGCGGCAUCCAUUGGGAGCUACCGAGGUUGAAGUACUCCAUGCAGGUCCGUCUGCCCUUGUGAUACUGUAGCAUGUUGCGAAACAGCAGAGGAGCAACCUGAGCCGACACCAGAGCCCAAACCAAGCAACAGACCCGGCGGACCAUCUUGACCUGCCGCAGACCGCGCAACCGCUGAGGGUGCACCACGGCCACAUAGCGAUCCAGACUGAUGCAGAUCACCGCCAGGACCAAAGUGUUGCCGCACACGCUGAAAAUGAAGACCAGAGAGUAGAAGAUUGGGAAGAGGACCACGGCGGCUCGCUGAUCAACUAGCACGUCGCAACUACUCCGGUGAUGGUGACUGAACCCAAUGCUGUUGCUUUACGGAUUCUGCACCGACCGACCGGGGCAAGAUCUGUGGUUGGCCACCUCACCAGGGGCAUGGCUUUGGAGAAGUUGACAUCAACCAACGGGGCAAAGGAUGAACCACAUCCUUGAAAGCAUCUUCCUGCAGUGCUUCAUUUAAUUAAAUGGACUCGCAUGAUAUCAGAGUUAACAUUGUACAGCACCGUGUACAGUAUGUGUUAAAUGUUUUGCACACUGCAGCCAUUACAGCCUGGACAUCCUAGUGGGAGGUUUCCCCCAUCUGUGACAUUUCUUGAUUUCUAUGGCUUUUCGUGACCCUAGUGAAAGGAACUGGGAUAGAAAAAAUGAUACUUGGUUGUAGGGAAAUAAACUGGCUUUACAAAGUGCAUUUACUAAUUGCACUGUUUUACAGGAAUAACUCGACUUCCAAGAGACCCAACUUAUUUGGAGAUAGAGAGAUCUGCUUUUUUUCUGCGCUGUGAGCAAAUUUGACUAAUGACAGCAAAAUGUAAAAAAAAAAAAGGAAGAGAGCGUCUUGCUUGCCAUUCCCAGUUGAAGUUUAAAUUUAAAGCAACGACAAUGUCAUAUUAUGCAUUUAACCAAACGCCAUAACGAAUGAAAGACAGCUAGCUUAAUACUAACACGUGAUACAAAACCCCGAUGUUGGACUUACAAAAGUAGCAUUGAUGUCGUGGUAGUUAUAAGUUAACUCUCUCAGUAAUAAAUUGUUUAACACAAAUGGUGCAGCAACACAUGCAGACGAUAGGCAUGGGCCGAUUACCAAUUUGAGUUUAUCAAGGUUUUUAAAGUCAAAGUUUCAAUAACCAUUAAACCUGUCUGCCACGAAUGAUGAGCUUUUUUUUCCAGGGGUGGUAGACUUCUAAGUAGCAAUAAAUAUUUGGAAUUUUUUAAAAAAUGUACAUACUGUAUACAUUCAGUGUAUAUUUUUACUUUUAGACAAAUGACGUGCCCCAUGUGUCCUUUUAAAAGAUCAAAUGUGGCCCUUGAGCACAAAGGUUUGCCCACCCUUGAUUUAAUGGGUCAUCUUGGGCAGGGUGUGGCAAACUAUGGCCUUGGGGCCAUAGUUGUCACUGUCAUGAGGUGGGAGAUGGUAGUGGACGUUUUGUCAUUUAAUCUGGCUCACAAAGCAUUUACAUCAUUUACUGUCAUAUUAGAAUUAUUGGAUUAAUGUAGUCGG
This is a long non-coding RNA of Hippocampus zosterae (dwarf seahorse), 1746 nucleotides long. RefSeq lists it as uncharacterized. The record is from RefSeq and is a predicted model, not a curated record. The transcript is spliced from 4 exons. Lineage: Eukaryota; Metazoa; Chordata; Actinopteri; Syngnathiformes; Syngnathidae.